This 497-nucleotide ribosomal RNA is filed under the name uncultured bacterium. RNAcentral describes it as "partial 16S ribosomal RNA". It matches the Rfam family "Bacterial small subunit ribosomal RNA", at positions 28 to 507 of the family's 1533-position model. The record is from RNAcentral.
GAUGAACGCUGGCGGCGUGCCUAAUACAUGCAAGUCGAGCGGACAGACGCGGAGCUUGCUCCUCUGACGUUAGCGGCGGACGGGUGAGUAACACGUGGAUCACCUACCUAUAUGACUGGGAAAACUUCGGGAAACCGGCGCUUAUACCGGAUAAUAUAUUGCACCGCGUGGUUCAAUGGUAAGAGACGGCUGUGCUGUCACUAAUAGCUGGUUACGAGCCGCAUGAGCUAGUUGGUAAGGUAACGGCUUACGAAGGCGACGAUGCGUAGCCGACCUGAGUGGGUGAUCGGCCACAUGGGAACUGAGACACGGUCCAGACGCCUACGGGAGGCAGCAGUAGGGAAUCUGACGCAAUGGGCGGAAGCCUGACGGAGCAACGGGGCGUGAGUGAUGAAAGUCUUCGGAUCGUGAAACUCUGUUAUUAGGGAAGAACAGAUGUGUAAGUAAAUAUGCACGGCUUGACGGUAACGAGUCAGAAAGCCACGGCUAACUACGUG